CCAAGCGUUCAUAGCGACGUUGC
RNAcentral lists this non-coding RNA (23 nucleotides) under Chlamydomonas reinhardtii. RNAcentral also lists the same sequence under 1 other name. The record is from RNAcentral. Lineage: Eukaryota; Viridiplantae; Chlorophyta; Chlorophyceae; Chlamydomonadales; Chlamydomonadaceae.